This is a long non-coding RNA of Ochotona princeps (American pika), 431 nucleotides long. RefSeq lists it as uncharacterized. Lineage: Eukaryota; Metazoa; Chordata; Mammalia; Lagomorpha; Ochotonidae. The transcript is spliced from 3 exons. The record is from RefSeq and is a predicted model, not a curated record.
UAAGACUUAGGAGAGAGCCGUGUGCGGUAAUUUGUGUUCGUAAGCUGAGUGCUGCAGGAAGUACAAAAUAGCCCUCAGAGGAAGAAGGAAGGCCCCAGCAGUAGUAAACACGUGCGAGGAUAAUACAAUUCAUUUCACUAAACCUCAUGAAAGAUGCCUGCUGGACAAAUCAGUACUACUCAUACAAGCAGUGGCAUGGGCAUGAAUAACCCAUGGCUUAAAGGGCUCCUCGGAACUUCACAUAUCACAACCAGCCAGCAUCAUCAGCAAGGAUUUGAAGGGUGUGCUUCUGGAAAAGCACCACUGGUGUUCUACAAAGCCCAGAAACAGAAUUCCAAUUUGACAGUUUGUUCCAAUAUUGGUCGGUAAGGCAGAACAGAGGUAAGUGAAGCUUUGAGUUAAUCCUAACGCAAGUGGUGAGUUUGUACAGC